ACAGCCGGGCAUUCCGUCGCUCGCCGAGGCAUAUCGGCGUGAGGAAAGUCCGGGCAACGCAGAGCGCCAUAUUUCUUAACGGGAAGCUAUCGGUGACGGUAGAGUAGCGUGACAGAAAAUAACCGCUGCCGCCGAGCCUCAUGCUCAGGCAGUAAGGGUGAAAAGGUGAGGUAAGAGCUCACCGGGCAACAUAGCGAUAUGCUGCGCCGCACGCCUUAUGGGUUGCAAGGCCAAGUACACCGGCAUUCAAGGGCUGCUCGUCCAUUGUCGGGGGGUAGGCUGCUAAAGCCGGGUGGCAACAUCUGGCUCAGAUAAAUGACGGAACGCUCCGAUGUCCGCUGUCGGCAACGGCAGUGAGGCAAAAGGGGCCGACAUAACCCGGCUUAUCGUCCGGCUGUCUUU
Molecule: RNase P RNA, 402 nt
Filed under: Bacillota bacterium
Lineage: Bacteria; Bacillati; Bacillota
Description: RNase P RNA component class A
Rfam family: Bacterial RNase P class A
About the family: Ribonuclease P (RNase P) is a ubiquitous endoribonuclease, found in archaea, bacteria and eukarya as well as chloroplasts and mitochondria. Its best characterised activity is the generation of mature 5'-ends of tRNAs by cleaving the 5'-leader elements of precursor-tRNAs.
Source: RNAcentral